UAGGGAAUCUUCGGCAAUGGACGAAAGUCUGACCGAGCAACGCCGCGUGAGUGAAGAAGGUUUUCGGAUCGUAAAACUCUGUUGUUAGAGAAGAACAAGGACGUUAGUAACUGAACGUCCCCUGACGGUAUCUAACCAGAAAGCCACGGCUAACUACGUGCCAGCAGCCGCGGUAAUACGUAGGUGGCAAGCGUUGUCCGGAUUUAUUGGGCGUAAAGCGAGCGCAGGCGGUUUCUUAAGUCUGAUGUGAAAGCCCCCGGCUCAACCGAGGAGGGUCAUUGGAAACUGGGAGACUUGAGUGCAGAAGAGGAGAGUGGAAUUCCAUGUGUAGCGGUGAAAUGCGUAGAUAUAUGGAGGAACACCAGUGGCGAAGGCGGCUCUCUGGUCUGUAACUGACGCUGAGGCUCGAAAGCGUGGGGAGCAAACAGG
Molecule: ribosomal RNA, 429 nt
Filed under: Gemmatimonadota bacterium
Lineage: Bacteria; Pseudomonadati; Gemmatimonadota
Description: Gemmatimonadetes bacterium partial 16S ribosomal RNA
Rfam family: Bacterial small subunit ribosomal RNA
Source: RNAcentral